UACGUAGGCGGAAAAUUAAGUCAGUAGUGAAAUCCUGCAGCUUAACUGUAGAACUGUUAUUGAUACUGGUUUUCUUGAAUAUAGUUAAGGUAGGCGGAAUGUGUAAUGUAGCGGUGAAAUGCUUAGAUAUUACACAGAACACCGAUUGCGAAGGCAGCUUACUAAGCUAUGAUUGACGCUGAGGUACGAAAGCGUGGGGAGCGAACAGGAUUAGAUACCCUGGUAGUCC
This 229-nucleotide ribosomal RNA is filed under the name uncultured bacterium. RNAcentral's name for it is "partial 16S ribosomal RNA". It matches the Rfam family "Bacterial small subunit ribosomal RNA", at positions 568 to 796 of the family's 1533-position model. The record is from RNAcentral.